GGCUCCUUGUAUAAUACAAAUAAGGAGUCGGACCUGCCCAGUGAAUUUUUCAACGGCCGCGGUACUCUGACCGUGCAAAGGUAGCAUAAUCAUUUGCCUUAUAAUUGAAGGCUAGUAUGAAUGGUUUGACAAGAAUAUAACUGUCUCUUUAUAAUUAAGUAGAAUUUUAUUUACAGGUGAAGAAGCCUGUAUAAUAUUGAAAGACAAGAAGACCCUAUCGAGCUUAAAAAAAAUUAAUAAAUUUUAAAUAUUUAAUAUAGAUUAAAAAAUUAAUUAUUAAAAACUUUGGUUGGGGCGACUGAGGAACAAAUAAAGCUUCCUUUACUACAUAAAACAAUCAAGUAUUGACCCAAAACUUUUGAUUAAAGGAGAUAGUUACCGUAGGGAUAACAGCAUUAUCUUUUUUGAAAGUUCCAAUUGAAAAAAAGGUUUGUGACCUCGAUGUUGGACCAGAAUAUCCCGAAGAUGCAGCUGUCUUCAAAGGUUGGUCUGUUCGACCAUUAAAAUUCU
This 510-nucleotide ribosomal RNA is filed under the name Flexopteron primanova. RNAcentral describes it as "partial 16S ribosomal RNA". It matches the Rfam family "Bacterial large subunit ribosomal RNA", at positions 1817 to 2597 of the family's 2925-position model. Lineage: Eukaryota; Metazoa; Mollusca; Gastropoda; Neogastropoda; Muricidae. The record is from RNAcentral.